GGCACAGGACUUGCCAAGUAAUCACCACAGGUAACCAACGGCGGUUGCCCCUACGACGAAGACGUCGC
Molecule: non-coding RNA, 68 nt
Filed under: unclassified sequences
Description: narK RNA
Rfam family: narK RNA
Source: RNAcentral